CAAUAGCGUAUAUUAAAGUUGUUGCAGUUAAAAAGCUCGUAGUUGGAUUUCGGGGCAGCCUGGCUGGUCCGCCGCAAGGCGAGUACUGGUCAGCCGCCCUUCCUCUCGAAAGCCCCGACUGCUCUUUAUUGCAGUGGUCGGGUAGUUCGGGACGUUUACUUUGAAAAAAUUAGAGUGUUCAAGGCAGGCCUACGCCUGAAUACAUUAGCAUGGAAUAAUGGAAGAGGACCUCGGUCCUAUCUUGUUGGUUUCCAGGACCGAAGUAAUGAUUAAGAGGGACAGUUGGGGGCAUUCGUAUUUAAUUGUCAGAGGUGAAAUUCUCGGAUUUAUGAAAGACGAACAACUGCGAAAGCAUUUGCCAAGGAUGUUUUCAUUAA
RNAcentral lists this ribosomal RNA (377 nucleotides) under uncultured eukaryote. Its description in RNAcentral is "partial 18S ribosomal RNA". It matches the Rfam family "Eukaryotic small subunit ribosomal RNA", at positions 592 to 976 of the family's 1831-position model. The record is from RNAcentral.